RNAcentral lists this long non-coding RNA (227 nucleotides) under Elaeis guineensis (African oil palm). RNAcentral's name for it is "long non-coding RNA (EGUI_LNC024379)". Lineage: Eukaryota; Viridiplantae; Streptophyta; Magnoliopsida; Arecales; Arecaceae. The record is from RNAcentral.
AGCUUCAGAGGAGAGAGCUCUCGUGUGGCCAGCUCAUAUGAUUCUACAGCAUCCACACUAUAGGAUAAAUUCUAAUACUUUAGAAAUUCUCUAUUAGGUUAUUUUAUCUUUUAUUAUCUAAUAUAAUAUUCUUUAUAAAUUUUUGCUACUCUCAACUUUGAACGAUAUGAGGUCACCAUUGAUCCAGCAGUCACAUAGAGCAGUGGUUAGCUCUCAGCUUUAGCACC